Eurytemora carolleeae is the source of this 654-nucleotide long non-coding RNA. RefSeq lists it as uncharacterized. The transcript is spliced from 2 exons. Lineage: Eukaryota; Metazoa; Arthropoda; Copepoda; Calanoida; Temoridae. The record is from RefSeq and is a predicted model, not a curated record.
UUCCUCUUCAUCCUAGUAAUAUACCUGGACCAGAAGUAAACAACGAACUUCAGGUACAGUGGUGUAUAUUUUAAACCUUCCUCUUCAUCCUAGUAAUAUACCUGGACCAGAAGUAAACAACGAACUUCAGGUACAGAGUUAUAUAUUUUAAACCUUCCUCUUCAUCCUAGUAAUAUACCUGGACCAGAAGUAAGCAACGAACUUCAGAUAUUUUGAGAUGGAUCGAAGCUUGGCUUUCAAACAGGGGGCAAAGAGUAGUUUUGAAUGGCCAAUAUUCAGAAUGGAAACCUGUCUUAAGUGGUGUUCCCCAGGGAUCGGUGCUUGGUCCGAUCCUUUUUAUCAUCUAUAUUAAUGACAUUGACUUUCUUUGUGCACAUAUUUCCGUGUUAAAAAAAUUUGCUGAUGAUACAAAACUUGCCCAAAAAAUGUUAAACGAAAGUGACAAAAAUAUAUUACAAAACUGUCUUAAUCAACUUUGUGACUGGGCUGAAACUUGGGGUAUGAUGUUCAAUGUUGAUAAAUGUAAAGUUAUGCACAUUGGAAAUAGAAACCCCUGCUAUACAUACACCAUGAACAAUCAAACCCUGUCAGAGAUCGACGAGGAAAAAGAUAUCGGAGUUACUAUGCAUGCAAACUUGAAACCUUCAGUGCACU